UACGUAUGGUGCAAGCGUUAUCCGGAUUUACUGGGUGUAAAGGGAGCGCAGGCGGAAGGCUAAGUCUGAUGUGAAAGCCCGGGGCUCAACCCCGGUACUGCAUUGGAAACUGGUCAUCUAGAGUGUCGGAGGGGUAAGUGGAAUUCCUAGUGUAGCGGUGAAAUGCGUAGAUAUUAGGAGGAACACCAGUGGCGAAGGCAGCUUACUGGACGAUAACUGACGCUGAGGCUCGAAAGCGUGGGGAGCAAACAGG
This 253-nucleotide ribosomal RNA is filed under the name Roseburia inulinivorans DSM 16841. Its description in RNAcentral is "partial 16S ribosomal RNA". It matches the Rfam family "Bacterial small subunit ribosomal RNA", at positions 524 to 776 of the family's 1533-position model. The record is from RNAcentral. Lineage: Bacteria; Bacillati; Bacillota; Clostridia; Lachnospirales; Lachnospiraceae.